Molecule: unclassified non-coding RNA, 682 nt
Filed under: uncultured fungus
Lineage: Eukaryota; Fungi
Description: sequence contains 18S rRNA gene, ITS1, 5.8S rRNA gene, ITS2, 28S rRNA gene
Source: RNAcentral
ACAGUGAGUGCGACACCGUCUUCAUGGAUGAAAUACACUGCCCUGCCGAGGUGCAAAACCGGAGGGCCUGACAAUACAGCGGUUGCCGCGUCACCGACUGACACGAUUGCCGAGGUGGAGUCGAACGCCGGUUCCUGAUUACUGUCCUGCGUCGGCAAAGCACCAUCGGAAUCCUGGGCAGCGAUCGCUGGAUCGUCGCCUAUUGCUGGCACCGUACUGUCGGAAUCCUGGGCACCGAUCUCUGGAUCGUCACCCAUCGCUGGUAACGGACUGUCGGAAUCCUGGGCACCGAUCUCUGGAUCGUCACCCAUCGCUGGUAACGGACUGUCGGAAUCCUGGGCAGCGGUAUCCGGUACCGGUACUGACGUCACUUCGGGGUCGAGAGCAGCUGCCAUAGCAUCCGCCGAUUGCUCGCCCUGCAUCGGAUCGGCAAUCGCAGCCCUUGAUUCGCGAUCCGUGUUCGUCGCUUCAUCGCGCGGCAAGUCGAACGUUGCCGUUUCCCCAGGUGUACUUGUUUCCUCAAUUGGGGCACCGAAGGUCGACUGCAGCAUCUGUACAAGCGCUGAUUCGCGUGCCAAGUCUAUAUAUUUUGAUGGCACAGGCUGAAUGCCUGACAACAACAUUCCUGCGACUAUGGCGGCGCCGAGCAGAAUGCCGAAGACAAUCGCAAUAACUGCUCCAG